This 294-nucleotide long non-coding RNA is filed under the name Elaeis guineensis (African oil palm). RNAcentral describes it as "long non-coding RNA (EGUI_LNC076770)". The record is from RNAcentral. Lineage: Eukaryota; Viridiplantae; Streptophyta; Magnoliopsida; Arecales; Arecaceae.
AAUCCAAUUCAAUUGAACUUGAUCCAAAAAUAAUUACUCAAUCAAAUUGAGUUAAUUAGUGAUCAAAUCACUAAUAAAACUUCUCAUAAAUAUUGAGUCCAAAUUCGAUGGGCAAUCGGGUAUCAAAGUCCAUCAAUAUGAAACCUUAAUCGAAGAGUCCCAACCAGUGGGACUCUUGACCCCGGUAUCCAAAAUGUGUGGGACUUGUGAUUAGAGAAUCCUGAUUCUCGAUCAUAGAGUUUCAGACACGUAGGACUCAUAGUCCAUAAAUAUUAGGACUCAUCAUCAGCCAUC